GGAUUGAACGCUGGCGGCAGGCCUAACACAUGCAAGUCGAGCGGCAGCACGGGUACUUGUACCUGGUGGCGAGCGGCGGACGGGUGAGUAAUGCCUAGGAAUCUGCCUGAUAGUGGGGGAUAACGUUCGGAAACGGACGCUAAUACCGCAUACGUCCUACGGGAGAAAGUGGGGGAUCUUCGGACCUCACGCUAUCAGAUGAGCCUAGGUCGGAUUAGCUAGUGGUAGGGUAAAGCCUACCAAGCUACGAUCCGUAACUGGUCUGAGAGGAUGAUCAGUCACACUGGAACUGAGACACGGUCCAGACUCCGUACGGGAGGCAGCAGGUGGGGAAUAGUUGGAACAAGUGGGCGAAAGCCUAGGAUCCGAGCCAAGUCGACCGCGUGGUCGUGAAGGAAGGUCUUACGGAUUGGUAAACGCUAACGUUUUAAGUGGGUAAGGAAGG
Molecule: ribosomal RNA, 445 nt
Filed under: uncultured soil bacterium
Lineage: Bacteria
Description: bacterial SSU rRNA
Rfam family: Bacterial small subunit ribosomal RNA
Source: RNAcentral